GUGAAAUUGUUGAAAGGGAAACGCUUGAAGUCAGUCACGUUGACUUGGAAUCAGCUCUGCUUUUGCUGGGUGUACUUUCUUGUCAAUGGGUCAGCAUCAAUUUUGACCAUUGGAUAAAGUCAUUGGGAAUGUAGCAUCUUUAGAUGUGUUAUAGCCUGGUGAUGCAUACGGUGGUUGGGAUUGAGGAAUUCAGCACGCCACCAGGCCGGGUUUCGACCACAUUCGUGCUUAGGAUGCUGGCAUGAUGGCUUUAAUUGACCCGUCUUGAAACACGGACCAAGGAGUCUAACAUAUCUGCGAGUGUUUGGGUGGAAAACCCAUGUGCGUAAUGAAAGUGAAAGUUGAGAUCCCUUCUCAAGGGAGCAUCGACGCCCGGACCAGACCUUUUGUGACGGAUCCGCGGUAGAGCAUGUAUGUUGGGACCCGAAAGAUGGUGAACUAUGCCUGAAUAGGGUGAAGCCAGAGGAAACUCUGGUGGAGGCUCGUAGCGAUUCUGACGUGCAAAUCGAUCGUCAAAUUUGGGUAUAGGGGCGAAAGACUAAUCGAACCAUCUAGUAGCCGGUUCCUGCCGAAGUUUCCCUCAGGAUAGCAGAAACUCAUAUCAGAUUUAUGUGGUAAAGCGAAUGAUUAGAGGCCUUGGGGUUGAAACAACCUUAACCUAUUCUCAAACUUUAAAUAUGUAAGAACGAGCCGUCUCUUGACUGGACUGCUCGAUGAUUGAGAGUUUCUAGUGGGCCAUUUUUGGUAAGCAGAAC
RNAcentral lists this ribosomal RNA (755 nucleotides) under uncultured Basidiomycota. Its description in RNAcentral is "LSU rRNA". It matches the Rfam family "Eukaryotic large subunit ribosomal RNA", at positions 399 to 1150 of the family's 3401-position model. Lineage: Eukaryota; Fungi; Basidiomycota. The record is from RNAcentral.